UACGGGGGGGGCAAGCGUUGUUCGGAAUUACUGGGCGUAAAGGGCUCGUAGGCGGCCAACUAAGUCAGACGUGAAAUCCCUCGGCUUAACCGGGGAACUGCGUCUGAUACUGGAUGGCUAGAGUUUGGGAGAGGGAUGCGGAAUUCCAGGUGUAGCGGUGAAAUGCGUAGAUAUCUGGAGGAACACCGGUGGCGAAGGCGACAUCCUGGACCAACACUGACGCUGAGGAGCGAAAGCCAGGGGAGCAAACGGG
Molecule: ribosomal RNA, 253 nt
Filed under: uncultured bacterium
Lineage: Bacteria
Description: partial 16S ribosomal RNA
Rfam family: Bacterial small subunit ribosomal RNA
Source: RNAcentral